AGGACGAACGCUGGCGGCGUGCUUAACACAUGCAAGUCGAACGGAAAGGCCCGCUUGCGGGUACUCGAGUGGCGAACGGGUGAGUAACACGUGGGCAACCUGCCCUCAGCUUCGGGAUAACACUUGGAAACAGGUGCUAAUACCGGAUAAUAACCUUUCAUCGCAUGGUGGUUGGUUCAAAGUUUUUCGGCUGAGGAUGGGCCCGCGGCCUAUCAGCUUGUUGGUGGGGUAAUGGCCUACCAAGGCGACGACGGGUAGCCGGCCUGAGAGGGCGACCGGCCACACUGGGACUGAGACACGGCCCAGACUCCUACGGGAGGCAGCAGUGGGGAAUAUUGCGCAAUGGGCGAAAGCCUGACGCAGCGACGCCGCGUGAGGGAUGACGGCCUUCGGUUGUAAACCUCUUUCAGCUCUGACGAAGCGCAAGUGACGGUAGGAGCAGAAGAGCACGGCCAACUACGUGCCAGCAGCCGCGGUAA
This 479-nucleotide ribosomal RNA is filed under the name uncultured bacterium. Its description in RNAcentral is "SSU rRNA". It matches the Rfam family "Bacterial small subunit ribosomal RNA", at positions 26 to 523 of the family's 1533-position model. The record is from RNAcentral.